GCCUCCAUAGCUUAAUCGGAAGAGCGCCAGACUUUUACGACAUUGUCGAAAUCUGGAGGUCGCCAGUUCGAGCCUGGCUGGAGGCG
Molecule: non-coding RNA, 86 nt
Organism: Orbilia ellipsospora
Lineage: Eukaryota; Fungi; Ascomycota; Orbiliomycetes; Orbiliales; Orbiliaceae
Source: the annotation of a GenBank genome assembly